AUGCGGAGCUGUGCCAGCCCCGGGCCCUGCAGGCUGCCUGCUCCUCCCGAUACGCGCUGCCCGGUAGCCGUGCUUGCUGUGCUGCUGCUCGGUACGGAGCUCUCACACGCUGAACUCUCAGUGCUGGAUAAAAACCGGCAUCAGCCGCUGAGAGCCGCUGCGUCCCCGAGAUCCGAGCUGCGCGCACUGCACCGCGCUGAGCGGGCGCUGCUGCUGCGCUCACUGCGGGGAGCGCCGGGGGAGGCUGCGCUGCAACGGGAGCGCUGUGUGUCUGCAGGGGGGGCUGCUGUGCCGCUCCAUUGCCGCAUCCCUGCCGCUCUCUGCCCCUGCUUGCAGCACAUCCUGCAGCAGAGCGGCCGGGGCUGCGCCGUGCCUGCGCUCACCGUGCUAUCCCCGCCUGCCCACCGUGCAGCCCCGGAGCCGAGAGCUGAGCUGGGCCGGGCACUGAGUGCAGCCAACCGCAGGAGCGUUGGCACAUCACAUACCGAGCAGCUCCGGCUCAGUAAUGAAACGUGGGGAGGUUUUGUUUUUGGAGUCCAUUCGGUCCAUAAGUGCCACCUUUGUGUGCCCAUCCCACGGGCUCCAGGCGGGAGAUGCUGCUGUCCCACAGCCCCCAGCGCUCCAUGCAGACCCCGCUGGGUGCCUGGAUGGGGGCGGCCCCAGUCCUGUCUGUUUCUCAAGAAAGUUCUUGGACUUGGCUUUAAGGCUCUGGCUCACCCAGCUUGGAAGGAGGCCACAGUGCGGUGCUGCACUGCUUCGGCAGCGAGUCCGGGCACUGAGUCUGUGCCAACACUGACCGAAGAGACACUUCUUGUCUGUGCCAUUUACCUGCCCACUGUGCUGUGCAGCUCCUGGGGCUCUGGGCACAGCUGUGUGGGAGGGGGUUUUAACUGCACCCCCAGCCCUGACUUGUGCUCAGAGAUGGGCCCGGGCUUUCCAGGUCCCAGCUCUGCCAUUUGCCUGCCCCUCUUGGCAGCAGCUCGCGCUCUCUUGGCCAACCCUUUGAUUCUUUGCUCUUCACUUCUUUCCUCAGCUCCCACUUCUGUUCCAGUUUCCCACUCCUUUUCAGCCUCUCCAUCUUUUUUUGACCCCUGUUUUUUUUUCCGCCCUCCACUUCUGGGCUAUAAGAUUUUUGUUCCCCACCCCCUCCCUGGCUCCCUGCUCCCCAGCCCCGGCCCCCCACGCCUCAGCGGCCUCAUUUCCACGGAAGAAGCACAAUGCACUCUGAGCUGUAAAUAA
Molecule: long non-coding RNA, 1239 nt
Filed under: Coturnix japonica (Japanese quail)
Lineage: Eukaryota; Metazoa; Chordata; Aves; Galliformes; Phasianidae
Description: lncRNA (ENSCJPG00005018146.1)
Source: RNAcentral